Molecule: ribosomal RNA, 467 nt
Filed under: uncultured bacterium
Lineage: Bacteria
Description: partial 16S ribosomal RNA
Rfam family: Bacterial small subunit ribosomal RNA
Source: RNAcentral
GACGAACGCUGGCGGCGUGCUUAACACAUGCAAGUCGAACGGAAAGGCCCUGCUUUUGUGGGGUGCUCGAGUGGCGAACGGGUGAGUAACACGUGAGUAACCUGCCCUUGACUUUGGGAUAACUUCAGGAAACUGGGGCUAAUACCGGAUAGGAGCUCCUGCUGCAUGGUGGGGGUUGGAAAGUUUCGGCGGUUGGGGAUGGACUCGCGGCUUAUCAGCUUGUUGGUGGGGUAGUGGCUUACCAAGGCUUUGACGGGUAGCCGGCCUGAGAGGGUGACCGGCCACAGUGGGACUGAGGAACGGCCCAGACGCCGACGGGGGGGAGCAGUGGGGAAUAUGGAACAAUGGGCGGGAGUCUGAUGCAGCAACGCCGGGUGGGGGAGGGCGGGCUUCGGGUUGUAAAACGCUUUCGCCUGUGACGAAGGGGGAGGGAGGGUAAUGGGUAAAGAAGCACCGGCGAACUACGU